Salmo trutta (river trout) is the source of this 3663-nucleotide long non-coding RNA. Ensembl lists it as uncharacterized. The record is from Ensembl. Lineage: Eukaryota; Metazoa; Chordata; Actinopteri; Salmoniformes; Salmonidae.
GUUUGUCUGUGUUUCAUGUUUGUGAUUGCCUUCUAACGGGCCUCCAUUUCUGUCUCCAGAGGCCCAAGCUUCCUUCGACACACAUCCCUGUGUGAAAAGCUCUGAUGUUGAUCCGAGUUUUUCUGGGGCACCUGGUUGUGGCCCUAGGCCUGCUCCUGCCCUACCCUGUCUGUGAGGCCACCACUCUGGGUGCAGUGGUCAAUGUUGUCCCUCUAGAGAAGAGUGGAGGAAAUAUGGUGAGGGCCCACUACACCGUGAUCUCUGCCCUACCCUGUCCUACGUUCUCCGGAGUGUGUCAGACAGGUGAAGACUGUGUCGUGCAUACCACCUCGUUACCCUACACAGGACAGAAGCCCGCCUCUGGCUGGUGCGUCCGCCAAUGGCAGAGGACCAUUCCCAGCAACUACAAAGCCAACGUGAAUGUGGGGUCCAACGUGAAUGUGUUUCUGUUCUUGUGGGCUGGACCCUCCAACCAGUCUAACUCAUUGAGACUAAACCAGCCCCCUUACUGCAGCCUGCCUCCUCCUCUCAGGGCUCGUGUGAACUGCCCACAUCACUUCCCACUGACGGUGAAGGACCUGGAUGGGGACACAGUGCUCUGUCGCUUUGCCCAGGCUGACCUUGGAGAAUGCCUUGACUGCCCCCAGUACAACUUUCUGAAGAUGGAGGAGGAGACGUGUACGCUGUUGUACAAUGGCAAAUCGUCCGCUGGCCAAUACUCUGUGCAGCUGAUGGUGGAGGACUUUUCACGCCAAACCCAAACCAACAAACGCAAAGCACUCAGUUCCAUCCCACUGCACCUGUCCCUUACAGUGGAGGAGGCGUCCUCAAGCUGCACUGCUGAGCCGGUCACUACAGGACUGACACCAACAGGGGGAGCCACCAUCUACGUUCUGCCCUAUGAGCAGAUCAACGUGUCUGUCACCUUUCAUUCUGACCUAGAGAGCGUAUCAGAGAUAGUGGUGGUUGGUCCCCCUGGCCUCUUCAGGACAGCGCUGGACACCAAGGGUUCCCUGGCCACCAUGAAUCUCACAUGGAUCCGGAGCCCCAACAACCUGCCUCCUCUUUUGCCCCUUUGUUUCCUGGCCAACACCAACAGUUUGCAGUCUGAACCCAGAUGUGUGUGGCUUUACCAAAGACAGAUGGAGACCAUUCCCACUGGAACAGAGCUGACAUGUGGGAAGACUGAGAUGCAUCUGGUUCUCCCCAUUUCCACCCUGAAGAACCUGAUUGUGUCAGAGCUCCAGCUCAACCAUCCUUCCUGUAGUGUCACCUCCAACUCCACCCAUGUGAUGGCCAGCAUCUCUCUGACUGGCUGCGGCACUAAGAGAGUGCACUCUGGUUCAGAGAUGGUGUACACCAACACCCUGCGAAGCGUACGCAACACUGUCAUCAGUCGGCAGCCCACCCUGAUUAUGCCAAUAGCCUGCCGUUUCCCUGGCGUCGAGGCCAAGGGCCCUCGGUACGCCAUCAACAUGCCGUCGGAGCAGGAGACCUUCGGCAUCGUUAAGUUCUGGUUGGAGUUCUACCGGCCUGGGGAGGGGCCCAUGGCUAACAGAACCAAAAUCCCCAAGUUCCGCCACCUCCUCCCUUCCUCGCAGCGUGUCCGCCGAGAGACGUCGGUCCGCACCGCGAGCAGGCUGGACACACUGGACCUGCAUGUGUUCUCCAACACCUCUCUGGACAGGGCAGAGUUGAUGGUGGGCAAGUGCAUGGAGUCCGAGACAGAAGACAUGGCUGACAGCCUCUGUAUCCUGGAUCAGGGGUGUUCGGCUGGAAAUGGAACCCUGGAGAUUCUGACGUCAACCUCCACUGUCAGGGUAUACCGAAUCAACCUGAGCACUAUCAAAACUAAAGGAACCAUGAUGUACGUGGAGUGUACAGUGUAUCUCUGUGUCACCACGAGGCCCUCUCAGAAGUGUCCUGAUCAGUGUGACAGGGCCAGCAGCAACCAGGUAAUGGUUGACAGCGUGCUGACCAGGAGCUACACCGUCCGCUCCGGCUCUGUUAGCCUCGUACCCACCACCGCUGCACUGGCAACUACCACUGUGGUCCCAGCAACCACCCCCACGGGUACCAUUAGUACCACAGCAGCACCAACUACAACAGCCUCAAAUGCUCCUGCUGAGGACUCAAACAUGACAGUGGGCGUGGUCUUGGCUGUCAUUCAUGUCUUACUUCAAGGCCUGCUUCAUCACUGAAGAGAGAAAGGGUUAUAAUUCCUAUGUUGUUAAAUUGUAGCUCUCAUGUGAAUUACUGCAUACUAAUUUACAUCAUAAGAAACCAAUGGAAUUAAUGAUAUGACACACUUCUUACAUUGAAUGGGUCGUUUUUCAAGAUAAUUAUUUUGUACAGUAUACUCCCCAUGAUGGCUUCUACAUUUAAAGCACGAAACACCGAGAAUUACACUGCCGAAAAGUACUUAUCACAGCGGGUGGCGUUCCUUCGCUUGCUAGAGCAAAAGCGGUUCCUGCUGCGUGCCAACCUGGUAGCGACGAACCUACGGCUUCUAGUCAGUGGCCAACAACUUGAUUUUGAGCCAAUCAGAGGUUCGUCAUUAGUUACCACAACCACAAAGUCAUAAACCUAAAAUGUGAUUUUAAACCUAAACUUAACCACACUGCUAACAUUAUGCCUAACCAUAACCUUAAAUUAAGACCAGAAAGCAAAUGUUUGUUUUCAUUAAUUUUUAUGCUAUAGACAAUUUUGACCUUUGCGGUAGCUAGUGGAAACCCAAUCAGAGAGCACCAACCCCCACAACGAAAAAAGGAAAUAAGAGGGCAGUUUUCCGCACAGCCUCGGAUGAGCCAGUCACACUUCAUAUGCAAUGUAGGCUAUGGGAUGGAAACUAGCUAAGUGCACAGACACAAUACUCAAUUAUUCCUCCAAGCUAGCUAACCACUGUAGUUAGUAUUGACAAUGUAUGUAAAUAACAAUGGAUUCGCUAGUGUCCAUGAAACAGCUGCCUGUGUUAGUUGCCGAGUUGUGCAGUUUCCUUAGCUACCUAACGUUAGCUAGCUAAACAUUUGGCUAUGGGCUGGUACUUUGGGAUUAUGGAGAGUGAAUAAAAUGGUUUAUUCUUCACCUUGCUAGGUAGUUAUCUAGCUGUGGCCAUCUGGCUAGUAGCAACAUAAACACAGAUGUCUGGUAAUCUAGACCAUAAACAAGACGCACGGAUAUGCAUUGCCAAACAAAGCUACUGCCACCUUCUGGUUUGGAGUAUUUUAAAAGUGAGUGGGUGACGACUUCCAAGGUCUUUGUUGUGGGAUCACAAAAGAGUGACUGCCGACACUGUUCGGAGUUGCUAAAUACAGUCGGCAGGCAAAUGUUUGACAAUUUUACCAGGCAAACGUUUGACAAUCUUACUGGUGUGUCUGAGCUUUAACUAUUUUUAACUGCUGUUUAUAACUAUUUUCGUCCAAAAAUCCUGUUCAAAAUGUAAUCCUGGAUAUGAACAUAAAGUAAUUGUUUCAAAUUUGUCCUGGUCAUGCAUGCACUGUAAAAAAAAUUAUAUAUAUAAAUAAAAUCUAGUUUCAACUAAUUAUUAUUAAGUAACUGGUUCCACAGACUUUUUUUUUUGUUUACUCAACUUUUCGGUCCAAGUGUUACCUGAACAAAAGAAAUUACUCAAACUUAGCUCCAAUUUGACAAGAAUUCAGUCAA